Molecule: long non-coding RNA, 743 nt
Organism: Engraulis encrasicolus (European anchovy)
Lineage: Eukaryota; Metazoa; Chordata; Actinopteri; Clupeiformes; Engraulidae
Exons: 5
Source: RefSeq, a predicted model, not a curated record
CGUGGCGUGCCUGGGACUGGGAAAUCUUGUCUAUCUGUGUGUUGCUCCUGAUAUUACUUUCAUAAACUUUGAACAUCAACUCGAUCGAUUGAUCUACUGUUGCCAUUGUUUGGCCAUCUCCUUGUGAAGUCGGGUGUACUUAUCGGUACUCUGAGCUGGAGCGCUGAUGUUUAGAUGCGAUGUCCCAACAAUCUGCCAGUAGGCUACCACAUUACACCUCAGCAGGCACACCAGAGAAGGACCACUCCUGGAUAAGGAUUUGAGCCACUGCCACGACUGCCAUCUCUACACUAUAUUACACACGCCAGCAGAUGUGGGAGGUGGUGAUCAACGUGACCUGUCAGCAGGUGGAGGACUUCCACGGCCCCGCGGACUACUGAUUACUGUGUGUGGCCUAGAGCCACCUGAGGACCUCCAAGAGCUGGCAAGGACACCAUCCGCGUCGCCCAACAUGGACAAACCAAAUCUGACAGGGUGCCCAUCAUCAGCUGCUGUGACGGGCCUUCCAUGGUGUUGCUGUGGUUAUUGCAAGGACAAUCAAAAACUGUUUUAUUUGGUUUAUACAAACCAAAACAAUAUGUAAAUAAACUACACAAUUUGUACUGCUAAAUCCUGAAAUUGUAAGUAGUUAUUAAGUAAUGCCUGUGUGCGUUUGUAUUAAGCACUAUAUAAAAAUACAUUACACAUACGUAAAACCUGUUCUGGCCUUUUCUGUUCAGCAUUAUGAGAAGUCAAAUGGUAAA